CCAGCCGCCAUCAUCUUGCAAGCCCCUCCUUCACCCAACUUGAUCGGCUAGCCCUCUCCCCCCAAAUCCCCCCACCGAGCUUCAAAUCAAGAACCAUACUCUAGCCCUCUCCCCCUUCAUGCUCUCCCUCUCUCCAUUUUGUGCGCCUCCCCCUCCCCUUCCACCGCCGCCCUCCCUUAGGUCCCCGUGUUCUACCUAGUUGGAGCCGGGAACCCGCAGUGCUGGUCGCAAAAUCGAGCUCCGAGGGAGAGGUGGCUGCGGCGGGAGAUGCGGAGGAGGUGGCAGUGGAGGAAGGGGAAACCCUAGCAAACCAGUCGGAGGUGAAGGAAGAGUCGAAGGUCUCUGAUGGCGAAACCGAGGUGAAGUUGAGGAGGAAACCUAAAAUCAAGCUUGAAGAUAUCAUGGGGUGAACAAGAGAGCAGUCGAGGCUGCUGAGAAGGAAAGGCUAGUGCCAGACAUCAAGACUGGGGAUAUUGUGGAGAUUAAACUCAUCAUGUUUGAGGGAGACGAGUUGGAUCUUUUUUUUUUUUUUUUGCAUAGACGAGUUAGAUCUUUGCUCGCUCUUCCAUAUCGUGAAGCUCAAGGUCGAGAUCUGAGCUGCUGAAAAACUGGGUUUUCAAGGAGCUAGCAUUUGAAGACCAAGAUAAAGAUGAAGAUGAAGAUGAAGGCUGAGGGAUGCUUCUAUUUCUACUGUAAUUUUUAAUUUGUAACUUGUAAUUAUGCUUCAUGUAUUAUUUCUAUUAUAAUUUGUUAAAAAAAUAUCA
Non-coding RNA from Phoenix dactylifera (date palm), 764 nucleotides. The record is from RefSeq and is a predicted model, not a curated record. Lineage: Eukaryota; Viridiplantae; Streptophyta; Magnoliopsida; Arecales; Arecaceae.